RNAcentral lists this non-coding RNA (135 nucleotides) under Palpitomonas bilix. The record is from RNAcentral.
ACAAGCAGACACGAAAAAGGAAAAAGAAAAGAAAAAGAAAAGAAACCCAUCCAACCAAACAUUUGUGGGGGGAGAACAUGUUCGAUAGGGUGUAAACUAUUUUUUUUCCUCUUCCUUCUCUUUUCCUUUAUUUCC